RNAcentral lists this ribosomal RNA (434 nucleotides) under uncultured bacterium. Its description in RNAcentral is "bacterial SSU rRNA". It matches the Rfam family "Bacterial small subunit ribosomal RNA", at positions 8 to 451 of the family's 1533-position model. The record is from RNAcentral.
AGAGUUUGAUCAUGGCUCAGAAUCAACGCUGGCGGCGCGCCUAACACAUGCAAGUCGAACGAGAAAGCACCCUUCGGGGUGUGAGUAAAGUGGCGCACGGGUGAGUAACACGUGGGUAACCUACCCUCCGGUGGGGAAUAACCCUGGGAAACCGGGGCUAAUACCGCAUACGACCUUCGGGUGAAAGGGCCUUUGGCCCGCCGGAGGAGGGGCCCGCGGCCGAUUAGCUUGUUGGUGAGGUAAUGGCUCACCAAGGCGACGAUCGGUAGCCGGCCUGAGAGGGCACACGGCCACACUGGCACUGAGACACGGGCCAGACUCCUACGGGAGGCAGCAGUGGGGAAUCUUGCACAAUGGGGGAAACCCUGAUGCAGCGACGCCGCGUGAGCGAUGAAGCCCUUCGGGGUGUAAAGCUCUUUCAGCGGGGACGAUCA